GAGUUUGAUCGUGGCUCAGAGUGAACGCUGGCGGCAGGCCUAACACAUGCAAGUCGAGCGGCAGCGCGGUGGUAGCAAUACCACUGGCGGCGAGCGGCGGACGGGUGAGGAACACAUCGGAAUCUACCUUUUUGUGGGGGAUAACGUAGGGAAACUUACGCUAAUACCGCACACGACCUUGGACCGACAGGUGCUUAGUGAAAGCGGGGGCCCAGCAAUGGCCUCGCGCAGAUAGAUGAGCCGAUGUCCGAUUAGCUAGUUGGCGGGGUAAUGGCCCACCAAGGCGACGAUCGGUAGCUGGUCUGAGAGGACGACCAGCCACACUGGAACUGAGACACGGUCCAGACUCCUACGGGAGGCAGCAGUGGGGAAUAUUGGACAAUGGGGGCAACCCUGAUCCAGCCAUGCCGCGUGGGUGAAGAA
This 423-nucleotide ribosomal RNA is filed under the name uncultured bacterium. RNAcentral describes it as "bacterial SSU rRNA". It matches the Rfam family "Bacterial small subunit ribosomal RNA", at positions 9 to 412 of the family's 1533-position model. The record is from RNAcentral.